Molecule: non-coding RNA, 1278 nt
Organism: Callorhinus ursinus (northern fur seal)
Lineage: Eukaryota; Metazoa; Chordata; Mammalia; Carnivora; Otariidae
Source: RefSeq, a predicted model, not a curated record
GGUGGAGGUGACAGUUCUCUGUGGGACUUAGGUCCAUCCCGAGGCCAGAGCCUUCCCCCAGGGCAGGGGCAAACGGCCCCUCUAGGAGGGAGCCGGAAGAUUAGGCAGCUCCAUGUAGGUCCACGUUUAGGUGAAGAGAACCCACCAUGAGGAAGGGCAAAAGGAAGAAGCCGGAGUCCAGACGCCAUGGCUCCACCUCACUGCGGGCCAGCUCCGAAUCCACGCCACAGAACGCCAGCUCCGAGUCCACCCCGCAGCAGCCCAGCCCCGGAUCCACCCCACAGCCCAGCCCCAGAUCCACCCCGCAGCCCAGCCCCGGAUCCACCCCGAAGCCCAGCUCUGAAUCCACUCCCUGCCAGUCUGUGCCCCAGGCUCUCCCAGCUCCCAAAACCAACUCCUCCACCCGAGGCCUGCUGCCUCAGGACACUAACACAAGAGCAUCUUCUCAACCCAGGAAAACAGGGGCUGUGACUCGUGCGGGCCCGCGGGCCUACUGUUCCUGUUCCACUUGCCCCGGCAGCUCUGCUUGCUGGCGUCGCCUGGGCCUGUGUCACAGCCGCAUCUUUGAUGUCCUCCUUCCUCGGGUCUGGCCCACCAUGCCAGGGAGAGGAUCCCCAAGCCUCCUCACUUUCUACAGAAAACCUACAAGGAAACACUCCACUCACCGUAAUUCACGUGCUCCAAGCUCUCGGGACUGCUGCUGUGGCUCUGGGGGCCCUGGGAGCUGCCUAUUACACCAUUGAAUCCUUGUGAGCAAACCCCCAGGCCCGCGGUCCGGCAGACCUCCACCAGCCACGGGAAUGGACAAGGAAUGGCCACAGUAGGGCACGUGCUCGAAGCAUCUCAGAAGCCCAACCCAAAAAGUAAACUCAGCAGCCACUCAGGGGCUCUGCUGCCUGAUCAAGGGACUUCCGGGGAGGAAUGAAAGCACCUAAGCCUCAUGUAAUACCACAGCAGCUGAGAGCCUCGGUUUCCCCGUCUGUAAAUAGGGAAGAUCAUGGGACCUGUCUUGAGAUUGUUGGAGUAUGAGAUAAGGUCUGGGGCUGGGGUUGCUUCCCUUUGCCGGGCAAAGAAGUAGAACAUCCAAACCAGGUGGGACCCUGGCCAGCAUCACCCACUACAAGAGACCGGAGUGUUUGUAGAAGGUUCUACAGUAGCCGAGUGCCAGAUGAACUCCAAUGUCCGGGCGUGUUGGCUUGGACAAGCGCUUGAACCACAGAAGGCCCCCUGAGGAUCCAGUUUCCAUCAAGGAUCUCUCUUGUCACCAAAAUAGAACGG